GGAAAUCUUGCUGGUGUCUUACCGUAAGUAUCUCUGGAGUAUGCAAUUUCCACAGUUUGCAAGUCAUUCACAAUGUAUUUUAAAUUGAAUUGUAAAUUUAAAUGCUUUAUAGUAGCUCUUUUCUGUAUUAUUAUGCGCAUUGAAUAAUUAGUCACAUAACCCAAUAUUGUAAUUUAUCAAUUUCCAUGAAGACAAUUCAAUUCAUUUAACUUAGCCAUAAUGUUAUAGCUUCUAAAGAGCACUGCUUGCAGGUCUCUCUCUCUC
RNAcentral lists this unclassified non-coding RNA (264 nucleotides) under Hevea brasiliensis (rubber tree). The record is from RNAcentral. Lineage: Eukaryota; Viridiplantae; Streptophyta; Magnoliopsida; Malpighiales; Euphorbiaceae.